AGAGUUUGAUCCUGGCUCAGGACGAACGCUGGCGGCGUGCUUAACACAUGCAAGUCGAGCGGUAAGGCCCUUUCGGGGGUACACGAGCGGCGAACGGGUGAGUAACACGUGAGUAAUCUGCCCUCCACUUUGGGAUAAGCCUCGGAAACGAGGUCUAAUACCGGAUACGACCGCUUCCUGCAUGGGAUGGUGGUGGAAAGUUUUUUCGGUGGGGGAUGUGCUCGCGGCCUAUCAGCUUGUUGGUGAGGUAAUGGCUCACCAAGGCUUCGACGGGUAGCCGGCCUGAGAGGGUGACCGGCCACACUGGGACUGAGACACGGCCCAGACUCCUACGGGAGGCAGCAGUGGGGAAUAUUGGACAAUGGGCGGAAGCCUGAUCCAGCAACGCCGCGUGAGGGAUGACUGCCUUCGGGUUGUAAACCUCUUUCAGUGGGGACGAAGCGCAAGUGACGGUACCCGCAGAAGAAGCACCGGCCAACUACGUG
RNAcentral lists this ribosomal RNA (485 nucleotides) under uncultured Nocardioides sp. Its description in RNAcentral is "bacterial SSU rRNA". It matches the Rfam family "Bacterial small subunit ribosomal RNA", at positions 8 to 507 of the family's 1533-position model. The record is from RNAcentral. Lineage: Bacteria; Bacillati; Actinomycetota; Actinomycetes; Propionibacteriales; Nocardioidaceae.